Molecule: ribosomal RNA, 806 nt
Filed under: Salmonella enterica
Lineage: Bacteria; Pseudomonadati; Pseudomonadota; Gammaproteobacteria; Enterobacterales; Enterobacteriaceae
Description: partial 23S ribosomal RNA
Source: RNAcentral
UUAGUGGAAGCGUCUGGAAAGGCGCGCGAUACAGGGUGACAGCCCCGUACACAAAAGCGCAUGUGCUGUGAGCUCGAUGAGUAGGGCGGGACACGUGGUAUCCUGUCUGAAUAUGGGGGGACCAUCCUCCAAGGCUAAAUACUCCUGACUGACCGAUAGUGAACCAGUACCGUGAGGGAAAGGCGAAAAGAACCCCGGCGAGGGGAGUGAAAAAGAACCUGAAACCGUGUACGUACAAGCAGUGGGAGCACAGGUUUACCUGUGUGACUGCGUACCUUUUGUAUAAUGGGUCAGCGACUUAUAUUCUGUAGCAAGGUUAACCGMAUAGGGGAGCCGGAGGGAAACCGAGUCUUAAUUGGGCGUUAAGUUGCAGGGUAUAGACCCGAAACCCGGUGAUCUAGCCAUGGGCAGGUUGAAGGUUGGGUAACACUAACUGGAGGACCGAACCGACUAAUGUUGAAAAAUUAGCGGAUGACCUGUGGCUGGGGGUGAAAGGCCAAUCAAACCGGGAGAUAGCUGGUUCUCCCCGAAAGCUAUUUAGGUAGCGCCUCGUGAAUUCAUCUCCGGGGGUAGAGCACUGUUUCGGCUAGGGGGCCAUCCCGGCUUACCAACCCGAUGCAAACUGCGAAUACCGGAGAAUGUUAUCACGGGAGACACACGGCGGGUGCUAACGUCCGUCGUGAAGAGGGAAACAACCCAGACCGCCAGCUAAGGUCCCAAAGUCAUGGUUAAGUGGGAAACGAUGUGGGAAGGCCCAGACAGCCAGGAUGUUGGCUUAGAAGCAGCCAUCAUUUAAAGAAAGCGUA